UACGAAGGGGGCUAGCGUUGCUCGGAAUCACUGGGCGUAAAGGGUGCGUAGGCGGGUCUUUAAGUCAGAGGUGAAAUCCUGGAGCUCAACUCCAGAACUGCCUUUGAUACUGAGGAUCUUGAGUCCGGGAGAGGUGAGUGGAACUGCGAGUGUAGAGGUGAAAUUCGUAGAUAUUCGCAAGAACACCAGUGGCGAAGGCGGCUCGCUAAACUGUAACUGACGCUGAGGCACGAAAGCGUGGGGAUCAAACAGG
Molecule: ribosomal RNA, 253 nt
Filed under: uncultured bacterium
Lineage: Bacteria
Description: partial 16S ribosomal RNA
Rfam family: Bacterial small subunit ribosomal RNA
Source: RNAcentral